This 1224-nucleotide ribosomal RNA is filed under the name metagenome. RNAcentral describes it as "bacterial SSU rRNA". It matches the Rfam family "Bacterial small subunit ribosomal RNA", at positions 286 to 1520 of the family's 1533-position model. The record is from RNAcentral.
GGGGAUCUGAGAGGAUGACCCCCCACACUGGUACUGAGACACGGACCAGACUCCUACGGGAGGCAGCAGUAAGGAAUAUUGGUCAAUGGAGGCAACUCUGAACCAGCCAUGCCGCGUGCAGGAAGACAGCCCUCUGGGUCGUAAACUGCUUUUAUUCGGGAAUAAACCUCAUUACGUGUAGUGAGCUGAAUGUACCGAAGGAAUAAGGAUCUGCUAACUCCGUGCCAGCAGCCGCGGUAAUACGGAGGAUCCAAGCGUUAUCCGGAUUUAUUGGGUUUAAAGGGUGCGUAGGCGGCUUUUUAAGUCAGGGGUGAAAGACGGUAGCUCAACUAUCGCAGUGCCCUUGAUACUGAAGAGCUUGAAUGGACUAGAGGUAGGCGGAAUGUGACAAGUAGCGGUGAAAUGCAUAGAUAUGUCACAGAACACCGAUUGCGAAGGCAGCUUACUAUGGUUUAAUUGACGCUGAGGCACGAAAGCGUGGGGAUCAAACAGGAUUAGAUACCCUGGUAGUCCACGCCCUAAACGAUGAAUACUCGCUGUUAGCGAUACACAGUUAGCGGCUAAGCGAAAGCGUUAAGUAUUCCACCUGGGGAGUACGGUCGCAAGAUUGAAACUCAAAGGAAUUGACGGGGGCCCGCACAAGCGGAGGAGCAUGUGGUUUAAUUCGAUGAUACGCGAGGAACCUUACCCGGGCUUGAAAGUUAGUGAAUGGAUUAGAGAUAGUCCAGUCCGCAAGGACACGAAACUAGGUGCUGCAUGGCUGUCGUCAGCUCGUGCCGUGAGGUGUUGGGUUAAGUCCCGCAACGAGCGCAACCCCUAUGUUUAGUUGCCAGCACGUUAUGGUGGGGACUCUAAACAGACUGCCUGUGCAAACAGAGAGGAAGGAGGGGACGACGUCAAGUCAUCAUGGCCCUUACGUCCGGGGCUACACACGUGCUACAAUGGAUGGUACAGAGGGCAGCAAGCUGGCAACAGCAAGCCAAUCUCCAAAAGCCAUUCACAGUUCGGAUAGAGGUCUGCAACUCGACCUCUUGAAGUUGGAUUCGCUAGUAAUCGCAUAUCAGCAAUGAUGCGGUGAAUACGUUCCCGGGCCUUGUACACACCGCCCGUCAAGCCAUGGAAGUUGGGGGUACCUAAAGUAUGUAACCGCAAGGAGCGUCCUAGGGUAAAACCGAUAACUGGGGCUAAGUCGAAACAAGGUAGCCGUACCGGGAGGUGCGGCUG